Non-coding RNA from Equus caballus (horse), 1111 nucleotides. The record is from RefSeq and is a predicted model, not a curated record. NCBI's taxonomy places the organism in Eukaryota, Metazoa, Chordata, Mammalia, Perissodactyla, Equidae.
UCAUGCUUUCUGUUGGUUGAUACAGGCUACUCUGUUCUCUCAUGCUUUUUGGUGAUAGUGGAUUCUUUUGAGGAGAUAACGGGAGGUGGGGCUGCCGCUGAGUGUAUUUCUGGUUUCAUACAGGUAAAAACACACUGUGUAUGAGGGGAAGUUUUAGUUGAAGGCCGAGUAGAUCUUGGGGAUGUAAAUCCCUGGGCACAGGACCGACUUUCAAAGAAGACGUGGGGGUCCAAAAGGAGAUCACCUAGCAAUAAAAGGCUCUUAGGUAAUAGCUGGGUAACAGAAUAAAUAGAAAAUUUCACCAAGGUGAAAUAUAUGCUAUGGUGAAUAUGUGGAGUUGGAAGGUAAGUUGGAAGGAUCUAAAGGGCCUCAGAGGGGUGGACUGAUUUGCUGGCCUGGAUGGUGGGGGAAGGGUUGUGGGUUCAUCACUUCUGUGUUUUCCCCUCCCCGACCAUCAAGAACCUUUGGUGUCUAUGCUAAAGCUCUGUGAUGCGGGCCUGGAACUCUAGUCUAGAAUGUGCACUCUUAACGCCCAGCUGCCUGAGGUGGCAGUGCACUUCUGGUGAUGCAGAUCACCCUCUUUGUCUGAGGAAUGUUAAUGCACCACGGCUGAGCUCCAGCUUGAGUUCCUAGGUAUUCCCAUCCCUGCCUUCCUGUGUGGGGUGGGGCUCCUUCUUCUGUCACUCUGCUACCUAAAGAGGAGUCCAUGUUUCCCAAUAUUUCGGAAAGAGAGAGACAUCAAUCAGUGUCAGGGCAGAGCCAAGAGGAGAAGAAAAGGUGGAACACCAAGUGGUUGGAGAGCUUGCCAGAGUGAAGCAGAGAAGGCAAGGAAGGUGCUUUCUCUGCUGCAAAGGUGACUAAACACAAUCCUUCUUUCCUGUAUCCCGCUUCUUAGAAGGGUCUAAGAAUUUCUAGGGCCUCAGUGAAACUUGAGAUUGAUAAGGGAAGGAAAAUCCUCAGAUUUUGCAAUCCAGAUUGUGAAAGUCUUGGGAGAAGGAAACAACAUAGAUUGUGAGCUCAAGGAAGUGGGGGGAUGUGAAAGGACAGUACGCAAUGGGUGCCCCUACCUCUGUCAGACCUGCCAGGGCCCCAUAUAUUUGUUCUGGUCCUG